GGGUUGUGAGGUUAAGCGACUAAGCGUACACGGUGGAUGCCCUGGCAGUCAGAGGCGAUGAAGGGCGUGCUAAUCUGCGAUAAGCGCCGGUAAGGUGAUAUGAACCGUUAUAACCGGCGAUACCCGAAUGGGGAAACCCAGUGUGAUUCGUCACACUAUCAUUAACUGAAUCCAUAGGUUAAUGAGGCGAACCGGGGGAACUGAAACAUCUAAGUACCCCGAGGAAAAGAAAUCAACCGAGAUUCCCCCAGUAGCGGCGAGCGAACGGGGAGGAGCCCAGAGCCUGAAUCAGCAUGUGUGUUAGUGGAAGCGUCUGGAAAGGCGCGCGAUACAGGGUGACAGCCCCGUACACAAAAGCGCAUGUGCUGUGAGCUCGAUGAGUAGGGCGGGACACGUGGUAUCCUGUCUGAAUAUGGGGGGACCAUCCUCCAAGGCUAAAUACUCCUGACUGACCGAUAGUGAACCAGUACCGUGAGGGAAAGGCGAAAAGAACCCCGGCGAGGGGAGUGAAAAAGAACCUGAAACCGUGUACGUACAAGCAGUGGGAGCACCCUUCGGGGUGUGACUGCGUACCUUUUGUAUAAUGGGUCAGCGACUUAUAUUCUGUAGCAAGGUUAACCGUAUAGGGGAGCCGCAGGGAAACCGAGUCUUAACCGGGCGUUAAGUUGCAGGGUAUAGACCCGAAACCCGGUGAUCUAGCCAUGGGCAGGUUGAAGGUUGGGUAACACUAACUGGAGGACCGAACCGACUAAUGUUGAAAAAUUAGCGGAUGACCUGUGGCUGGGGGUGAAAGGCCAAUCAAACCGGGAGAUAGCUGGUUCUCCCCGAAAGCUAUUUAGGUAGCGCCUCGUGAAUUCAUCUCCGGGGGUAGAGCACUGUUUCGGCUAGGGGGCCAUCCCGGCUUACCAACCCGAUGCAAACUGCGAAUACCGGAGAAUGUUAUCACGGGAGACACACGGCGGGUGCUAACGUCCGUCGUGAAGAGGGAAACAACCCAGACCGCCAGCUAAGGUCCCAAAGUCAUGGUUAAGUGGGAAACGAUGUGGGAAGGCCCAGACAGCCAGGAUGUUGGCUUAGAAGCAGCCAUCAUUUAAAGAAAGCGUAAUAGCUCACUGGUCGAGUCGGCCUGCGCGGAAGAUGUAACGGGGCUAAACCAUGCACCGAAGCUGCGGCAGCGACGCUUAUGCGUUGUUGGGUAGGGGAGCGUUCUGUAAGCCUGCGAAGGUGGCCUGUGAGGGUUGCUGGAGGUAUCAGAAGUGCGAAUGCUGACAUAAGUAACGAUAAAGCGGGUGAAAAGCCCGCUCGCCGGAAGACCAAGGGUUCCUGUCCAACGUUAAUCGGGGCAGGGUGAGUCGACCCCUAAGGCGAGGCCGAAAGGCGUAGUCGAUGGGAAACGGGUUAAUAUUCCCGUACUUGGUGUUACUGCGAAGGGGGGACGGAGAAGGCUAUGUUGGCCGGGCGACGGUUGUCCCGGUUUAAGCGUGUAGGUGUGUGUUCCAGGUAAAUCCGGUUCACUUUAACACUGAGGCGUGACGACGAGGCACUACGGUGCUGAAGCAACAAAUGCCCUGCUUCCAGGAAAAGCCUCUAAGCAUCAGGUAACAUCAAAUCGUACCCCAAACCGACACAGGUGGUCAGGUAGAGAAUACCAAGGCGAUUGAGAGAACUCGGGUGAAGGAACUAGGCAAAAUGGUGCCGUAACUUCGGGAGAAGGCACGCUGACACGUAGGUGAAGUGAUUUACUCAUGGAGCUGAAGUCAGUCGAAGAUACCAGCUGGCUGCAACUGUUUAUUAAAAACACAGCACUGUGCAAACACGAAAGUGGACGUAUACGGUGUGACGCCUGCCCGGUGCCGGAAGGUUAAUUGAUGGGGUCAGCGCAAGCGAAGCUCCUGAUCGAAGCCCCGGUAAACGGCGGCCGUAACUAUAACGGUCCUAAGGUAGCGAAAUUCCUUGUCGGGUAAGUUCCGACCUGCACGAAUGGCGUAAUGAUGGCCAGGCUGUCUCCACCCGAGACUCAGUGAAAUUGAACUCGCUGUGAAGAUGCAGUGUACCCGCGGCAAGACGGAAAGACCCCGUGAACCUUUACUAUAGCUUGACACUGAACAUUGAGCCUUGAUGUGUAGGAUAGGUGGGAGGCUUUGAAGUGUGGACGCCAGUCUGCAUGGAGCCGACCUUGAAAUACCACCCUUUAAUGUUUGAUGUUCUAACGUGGACCCGUGAUCCGGGUUGCGGACAGUGUCUGGUGGGUAGUUUGACUGGGGCGGUCUCCUCCUAAAGAGUAACGGAGGAGCACGAAGGUUGGCUAAUCCUGGUCGGACAUCAGGAGGUUAGUGCAAUGGCAUAAGCCAGCUUGACUGCGAGCGUGACGGCGCGAGCAGGUGCGAAAGCAGGUCAUAGUGAUCCGGUGGUUCUGAAUGGAAGGGCCAUCGCUCAACGGAUAAAAGGUACUCCGGGGAUAACAGGCUGAUACCGCCCAAGAGUUCAUAUCGACGGCGGUGUUUGGCACCUCGAUGUCGGCUCAUCACAUCCUGGGGCUGAAGUAGGUCCCAAGGGUAUGGCUGUUCGCCAUUUAAAGUGGUACGCGAGCUGGGUUUAGAACGUCGUGAGACAGUUCGGUCCCUAUCUGCCGUGGGCGCUGGAGAACUGAGGGGGGCUGCUCCUAGUACGAGAGGACCGGAGUGGACGCAUCACUGGUGUUCGGGUUGUCAUGCCAAUGGCACUGCCCGGUAGCUAAAUGCGGAAGAGAUAAGUGCUGAAAGCAUCUAAGCACGAAACUUGCCCCGAGAUGAGUUCUCCCUGAGACUUAGAGUCUCCUGAAGGAACGUUGAAGACGACGACGUUGAUAGGCCGGGUGUGUAAGCGCAGCGAUGCGUUGAGCUAACCGGUACUAAUGAACCGUGAGGCUUAACCUUACAACGCCGAAG
RNAcentral lists this ribosomal RNA (2927 nucleotides) under Salmonella enterica. Its description in RNAcentral is "23S ribosomal RNA". It matches the Rfam family "Bacterial large subunit ribosomal RNA". Lineage: Bacteria; Pseudomonadati; Pseudomonadota; Gammaproteobacteria; Enterobacterales; Enterobacteriaceae. The record is from RNAcentral.